UACGGGGGGGGCAAGCGUUGUUCGGAAUUACUGGGCGUAAAGGGCUCGUAGGUGGCCAACUAAGUCAUACGUGAAAUCCCUCGGCUUAACCGGGGAACUGCGUCUGAUACUGGAUGGCUUGAAUUCGGGAGAGGGAUGCAGAAUUCCAGGUGUAGCGGUGAAAUGCGUAGAUAUCUGGAGGAAUACCGGUGGCGAAGGCGGCAUCCUGGACCGACAUUGACGCUGAGGAGCGAAAGCUAGGGGAGCGAACCGG
RNAcentral lists this ribosomal RNA (253 nucleotides) under uncultured bacterium. RNAcentral describes it as "partial 16S ribosomal RNA". It matches the Rfam family "Bacterial small subunit ribosomal RNA", at positions 524 to 776 of the family's 1533-position model. The record is from RNAcentral.